This 235-nucleotide ribosomal RNA is filed under the name uncultured bacterium. Its description in RNAcentral is "partial 16S ribosomal RNA". It matches the Rfam family "Bacterial small subunit ribosomal RNA", at positions 99 to 334 of the family's 1533-position model. The record is from RNAcentral.
CGAACGGGUGAGUAACACGUGAGCAACCUGUCCCGAAGACCGGGAUAACACCGGGAAACCGGUGCUAAUACCGGAUAUCCCCACCAGAUCGCAUGGUCGGGUGAGGAAAUGGAUUCCGCUUCGGGAGGGGCUCGCGGGCUAUCAGCUUGUUGGUGAGGUAACGGCUCACCAAGGCUUCGACGGCUAGCUGGUCUGAGAGGACGACCAGCCACACUGGGACUGAGAUACGGCCCAG